AGUGAACGCUGGCGGCGUGCUUAACACAUGCAAGUUGAACGAGAACGGGUUAUAGCUUGCUAUAAUUGUCAGCUAAGUGGCGCACGGGUGAGUAAUGUAUAGGUAAUAUGCCUCUUACUAAGGGAUAAAAAAUGGAAACGUUUGCUAAUACCUUAUACUCCUUAUUAACAUAAGUUAAUAAGGGAAAGAUUUAUUGGUAAGAGAUUAGCCUGUAUUGUAUCAGUUAGUUGGUGGCGUAAUGGCUUACCAAGACUAUGACACAUAACUGGUUUGAAAAGAUGAUCAGUCACACUGGAACUGAGACACGGUCCAGACUCCUACGGGAGGCAGCAGUGGGGAAUAUUGCACAAUGGACGAAAGUCUGAUGCAGCAACGCCGCGUGGAGGAUGACACAUUUCGGUGCGUAAACUCCUUUUAUAUGAGAAGAUAAUGACGGUAUUAUAUGAAUAAGCACCGGCUAACUCCGUGCCAGCCGCCGCGGUAA
Molecule: ribosomal RNA, 484 nt
Filed under: uncultured bacterium
Lineage: Bacteria
Description: partial 16S ribosomal RNA
Rfam family: Bacterial small subunit ribosomal RNA
Source: RNAcentral